CCUACGGGCGGCAGCAGUGAGGAAUAUUGGUCAAUGGCCGGAAGGCUGAACCAGCCAUGCCGCGUGAAGGUCAGUGCCCUAUGGGCGUUAAACUUCUUUUGUGCGGGAGCAAUAAUGGUCACGUGUGGCCAGACGAGAGUACCGUACGAAUAAGCAUCGGCUAACUCCGUGCCAGCAGCCGCGGUAAUACGGGGGAUGCAAGCGUUAUCCGGAUUUAUUGGGUUUAAAGGGUGCGUAGGCUGUGAGGUAAGUCAGCGGUGAAAUGCCCCCGCUCAACGGGGUGAAGUGCCAUUGAUACUGCCUGGCUGGAAUGCGGAUGCCGUGGGAGGAAUGUGUGGUGUAGCGGUGAAAUGCAUAGAUAUCACACAGAACACCGAUUGCGAAGGCAUCUCACGAAUCCGCGAUUGACGCUGAUGCACGAAAGCGUGGGUAUCAAACAGGAUUAGAUACUCUUGUAGUC
This 460-nucleotide ribosomal RNA is filed under the name uncultured bacterium. Its description in RNAcentral is "partial 16S ribosomal RNA". It matches the Rfam family "Bacterial small subunit ribosomal RNA", at positions 338 to 795 of the family's 1533-position model. The record is from RNAcentral.